RNAcentral lists this unclassified non-coding RNA (193 nucleotides) under uncultured Pestalotiopsis. RNAcentral's name for it is "sequence contains ITS1". The record is from RNAcentral. Lineage: Eukaryota; Fungi; Ascomycota; Sordariomycetes; Amphisphaeriales; Amphisphaeriaceae.
UAGAGUUUUCUAAACUCCCAACCCAUGUGAACUUACAAUUGUUGCCUCGGCAGAAGCUGCUCGGUGCACCUUACCUUGGAACGGCCUACCCUGUAGCGCCUUACCCUGGAACGGCUUACCCUGUAGCGGCUGCCGGUGGACUACCAACUCUUGUUAUUUUAUUGUAAUCUGAGCGUCUUAUUUUAAUAAGUCA